Anas platyrhynchos (mallard) is the source of this 773-nucleotide long non-coding RNA. RefSeq lists it as uncharacterized. The record is from RefSeq and is a predicted model, not a curated record. NCBI's taxonomy places the organism in Eukaryota, Metazoa, Chordata, Aves, Anseriformes, Anatidae.
UCAUCUGUCCACCUCAUCACUUUGCAUUUCAAAAUAAUUAAUCCCAACACUCAUUCCUUUGAAUUGUCCCAUGAAUUCAGUGGUAUUGGAAACAGGAUGCUUGACAGUUUUUUUGCAUAUCAUCCCUUUCGGUUUGUUAGCCAACAAUGUCAAGAACCUCUUUUAGCAGAAGACUACAGCCCUUGGCAUAAGGAAUUCUCGAGCUAUGGGAAUGUGACUUCUAAUGCUCAUGUUUCUGCACAGAACACCUAAGGCUCAGUUCAUAUUGUAAUGGCUGUAACACUAUCUGAGGACUCAGAAGGUGCUAAGACACCUCUGAUGAAAAUGCAGGGCUUCUCCACAGUGCAGGUACCCACAGGGUGAAACUGUAUGUACUCCCACGUGUGUGCCAGCAAGCAUGGAGAAGACCAAAGCAUGGAGAAGACCAGCAACAGCAAUUUUAAGUAAUGCAACAAUGACUAUAUCUACCAGACAGCGCAGAAACUUUCAGAUGGUCCUAGGAAAUACAUGAGACUGGGUUUGCAGAGGGAGGUGAUGCAACUAAUCAAUACUGAUUCUAAGAAGCCAAAAAGCCUGAAAAAGGACUUCAUGCCUUGUAUCAGUGUCAAUGAAUACAAUAAAAGAACACCUCUCACUAUAGCCCUUGUCUCAACAUAAUCUCACUGGAAUCAUUCAGGGUAUGCAAUAAUCAAGCCCAGCUGCAUUGCUUGCAAAAGGUAAAUUGAAAAGGAAAUUACAGCAGAACCUAAAGGCCAGUAGCAUGAGUGCAUCUA